This 497-nucleotide ribosomal RNA is filed under the name uncultured bacterium. Its description in RNAcentral is "partial 16S ribosomal RNA". It matches the Rfam family "Bacterial small subunit ribosomal RNA", at positions 28 to 507 of the family's 1533-position model. The record is from RNAcentral.
GAUGAACGCUGGCGGCGUGCCUAAUACAUGCAAGUCGGGCGAACGGACGAGAAGCUUGCUUCUCUGAUGUUAGCAGCGGACGGGUGAGUAACACGUGGAUAACCUACCUAUAAGACUGGGAUAACUUCGAGAAACCGGGGCUAAUACCGGAUAAUAUUUUGAACCGCAUGGUUCAAAAGUGAAAGACUGUCUUGCUGUCACUUCUAGAUGGAUCCGCGCUGCAUUAGCAAGUUGGUAAGGUAAGGGCUUACCAAGGCAACGAUGCAUAGCCGACCUGAGAGAGUGAUCGGCGACACUGGAACAGAGACACGGUCCAGACUCCGACGGGAGGCAGCAGUAGGGACUCUUCCGCAAUGGGCGAAAGCCUGACGGAGCAACGCGGCGUGAGUGAUGAAGGUCUUCGGAUCGUAAAACUCUGUUAUUAGGGAAGAACAUAUGUGUAAGUAACUGUGCACAUAUUGACGGUACCUAAUCAGAAAGCCACGGCUAACUACGUG